GAUGAAUGCUGGCUACAGGCUUAACACAUGCAAGUCGAGGGGAAACGGCAUUGAGUGCUUGCACUGAAUGGACGUCGACCGGCGCACGGGUGGGUAACGCGUAUCCAACCUUCCCGUUACUGCGGGAUAACCUGCCGAAAGGCAGACUAAUACCGCAUGUUCUUCGAUGACGGCAUCAGAUUCGAAGCAAAGAUCCGUCGGUAACGGAGGGGGAUGCGUCUGAUUAGCUAGUUGGCGGGGCGACGGCCCACCAAGGCGACGAUCAGUAGGGGUUCUGAGAGGAAGGUCCCCCACAUUGGAACUGAGACACGGUCCAAACUCCUACGGGAGGCAGCAGUGAGGAAUAUUGGUCAAUGGGCGGAAGCCUGAACCAGCCAAGUAGCGUGCAGGAUGACGGCCCUACGGGUUGUAAACUGCUUUUAUGCGGGGAUAAAGUGAGGGACGCGUCCCUUUUUGCAGGUACCGCAUGAAUAAGGACCGGCUAAUUCCGUG
Molecule: ribosomal RNA, 492 nt
Filed under: uncultured bacterium
Lineage: Bacteria
Description: partial 16S ribosomal RNA
Rfam family: Bacterial small subunit ribosomal RNA
Source: RNAcentral